Molecule: ribosomal RNA, 784 nt
Filed under: uncultured Pelagibacteraceae bacterium
Lineage: Bacteria; Pseudomonadati; Pseudomonadota; Alphaproteobacteria; Candidatus Pelagibacterales; Candidatus Pelagibacteraceae
Description: bacterial SSU rRNA
Rfam family: Bacterial small subunit ribosomal RNA
Source: RNAcentral
ACACAUGCAAGUCGAACGCAGUAGCAAUACUGAGUGGCAGACGGGUGAGUAUAAUGUGGGAAUCUGCCUUUUGGUUCGGAAUAACUCGGGGAAACUUGAGCUAAUACCGGAUAAGCCCUUACGGGGAAAGAUUUAUCGCCGAAAGAUGAGCCCGCACUUGAUUAGCUUGUUGGUGAGGUAAAAGCUCACCAAGGCAACUAUCAAUAGCUGUUCUUAGAGGAAGACCAGCCACAUUGGGACUGAGACACGGCCCAGACUCCUACGGGAGGCAGCAGUGGGGAAUCUUGCACAAUGGGGGAAACCCUGAUGCAGCGAUGCCGCGUGAGUGAAGAAGGCCUUUGGGUUGUAAAACUCUUUCGUUGGGGAAGAAAAUGACUGUACCCAAAUAAGAAGGUCCGGCUAACUUCGUGCCAGCAGCCGCGGUAAUACGAAGGGACCUAGCGUAGUUCGGAAUUACUGGGCUUAAAGAGCUCGUAGGUGGUUAAAAAAGUUGGUGGUGAAAUCCCAAGGCUUAACCUUGGAACUGCCAUCAAAACUUUUUAGCUAGAGUGUGAUAGAGGAAAGUGGAAUUUCUAGUGUAGAGGUGAAAUUCGUAGAUAUUAGAAAGAACACCAAAAGCGAAGGCAACUUUCUGGAUCACUACUGACACUGAGGAGCGAAAGCAUGGGUAGCGAAGAGGAUUAGAUACCCUCGUAGUCCAUGCUGUAAACGAUGUGUGCUAGACGUUGGAAAUUUUAUUUUCAGUGUCGCAGCAAAAGCGUUAAGCACACCGCCUGGGGAGUAC